Molecule: ribosomal RNA, 599 nt
Filed under: Fusarium sp.
Lineage: Eukaryota; Fungi; Ascomycota; Sordariomycetes; Hypocreales; Nectriaceae
Description: partial large subunit ribosomal RNA
Rfam family: Eukaryotic large subunit ribosomal RNA
Source: RNAcentral
GCCCUAGUAACGGCGAGUGAAGCGGCAACAGCUCAAAUUUGAAAUCUGGCUCUCGGGCCCGAGUUGUAAUUUGUAGAGGAUACUUUUGAUGCGGUGCCUUCCGAGUUCCCUGGAACGGGACGCCAUAGAGGGUGAGAGCCCCGUCUGGUUGGAUGCCAAAUCUCUGUAAAGUUCCUUCAACGAGUCGAGUAGUUUGGGAAUGCUGCUCUAAAUGGGAGGUAUAUGUCUUCUAAAGCUAAAUACCGGCCAGAGACCGAUAGCGCACAAGUAGAGUGAUCGAAAGAUGAAAAGCACUUUGAAAAGAGAGUUAAAAAGUACGUGAAAUUGUUGAAAGGGAAGCGUUUAUGACCAGACUUGGGCUUGGUUAAUCAUCUGGGGUUCUCCCCAGUGCACUUUUCCAGUCCAGGCCAGCAUCAGUUUUCCCCGGCGGAUAAAGGCGGCGGGAAUGUGGCUCUCUUCGGGGAGUGUUAUAGCCCACCGUGUAGUACCCUGGGGGGGACUGAGGUUCGCGCAUCUGCUAGGAUGCUGGCGUAAUGGUCAUCAACGAACCGUCUUGAAACACGGACCAAGGAGUCGUCUUCGUAUGCGAGUGUUCGGGU